GUUCUCUCCCCACUGCCAGGCACCACCACACGCCAUCUAGUGAAGUAACAAAGAACGCUGCCAGACGUAUCGUGUACAUGCAGGCUACAUUUAUCAUAUUAAACCAUGAAAUGAUGCCUACUGGAGAGAGCAGGCUCUUUUUUUCAGACUCCAGUUAUUUGUUUCAAGUCCAACUCUUGAAGUUUAUUAGACUUCUAUGAGUGCUUCACUGGUGCUCCUCACACGUGACUACCAGAGACAACAUGGUGGUUCUAGAGAUCAUGUUAAGCAUGGAAGAAGGAUGCUUCACGUCAGGAAUUCUUCCCUCCUUUUCAAGAAUGUCAAAAUGCUACAUAGCCUUUCAUUUUGCCAGAGUUUUGCCCAUUCUGGUGUUGACAUCAGCAGAUUUUACUCUGUCAUUUACAACAUGAAGCAAAGACAGGAGCUGGGUUCUUCCAUCACAUCACCUACCCAUUGCUCACUUCUGAAUGAAGGCACAUCAGCACAGCACAGCAGAGAUUAAAACCUCUGAGGAAGCCAUAAAACCCAGCAGCCUCUAUGAAACCGUAGCCUUUCUCCUGCCCAGACUAAAGUGGUGCUUGAUUGACUCUCCUUGUCGGUGGACAAGGAGACUUGUUAUGAUAUGUAUCAAUGAGUGUGUUGGGAGGGAUUAACCACAGUCCCUCACCUUGAAAUGGCUUCAGCUUGAUUUCUUAUGGAAAUGAGGGCAGCUGUACACAUAUAUCUCAGUCUCUGCUUUUCUGCAUAUCUGCCCUUCCCCCCUCCCCUAACUUCUGAAUCCACUGACCAAUGCCAGCAAUCUGUAACAUAGGAGUAGCAGUCUUAAAGAUAAUUAAGUUGCUAAAUGUUCAUUAAAGUUGGCCUUGAACUACAGGAGAAAGAACUUACUGUCAUUUAAAAUAACAAUGUGGCUCAACACUAACUUGUCCCAAAGAAUCCCUGCCGGGGAGGAUAUUAUGCAAGCCCUUUUUUUCCUCCCUACACAUGUGUUUAGUAGAGCAGGAUCCAGCCCUAACAGUUCCUUUCUAGAUUAUUUCUAAGAUGGAGUCACAGAUAUGUUAUUGCAUAGAUAAUUAACCAUUAAACACUAAUGAGUUACUUCAAAUAUGGUACAAGGCUUCACAGAGAGUGUGCUGUAACAUCCUGCCAAAUGAAGCAGUCUAUUCAAAACUCUAAUGGGAUCACUAGUAGGGUUGCCCAAAACACUAGAAAAAAUCUAGUGGGAUUAACAAAGUUCACUUUGAUGUGGGCUAUUUUUAACCUGGAUGUGUUCUGUGAUUUGUUUCCCACACAGCACAGAAACUGGCACAGCUGAGGGGCUGGGAGCCAGGAGGGCUGGCGCUCGGGACACCUCCUCCUGGUGGGCUGCCAAGGACGGCGGCAGUGUCCUCCCUCCCGCCCAGGGCGGUGGCCCCGGCCCCGGGCACACGGCAUCCAUCCGCGCUGCUCGCCCGACCCUCCCCUCGAGACCUACUUCUGCUGGGAGAGGCAAGGUAACCUCGCCACUGAAAAUAGCUGGGACGCCGGCCAGCGGAGAUUAAUGGCAUCAUUAACGUCCCCGGUUUAUUUAUAGGUUUAAAAAUGCCUUGGACCUGCAAACUGAGCACAGUUGCUCCGUGUAAGGCAGGGACUCAUAGAUCUCCUGCUUCUGCCUUUCCCCUUCCUGCUAUUUGCUUCUGAUUGCUGGGACUGUAAAACCUCCGGAGCAGGCACUGUUUCUCAUUGUGAAGCUACUUUGUAAACCUUCCUAACUGAAGGGAUACACACAGAUACUGUUGUUUUUGUUGGUUUUUUUUUCCCCAAGAAUGCUGUAUUUGUCUGCUCUCCUUCCUCUACCAACUUUUUCUGUUCACACUGUGUCCUGUGGUACUCUUAGAGAAAAUUCUCUUUUUCAUGAAUUCCUGAGGCAAAGGCUGAGCAGCCAUCACAGGAAUUAGUGAUUUCCCACCCUGUGCUUUAAACUGUGAGUUCUGUGGCAGAGAGACUGAGGUUCUCAUAGCUGUGGAGAGCAUGGAGAGCACUUAGGACAUGUAGGGCCCUAGUGAGAAAUGCAGAUGCAAUUAGUGAUCGUGGAGGUCUUCCAACAGAAGCCAGCAGAGCUAGCCCAGCUCCCAGGUCCUCCAGGAACCUUGCAGGACUGGUGAGAAAAGAAAAAAACCCACCCCAAAUGUGUUUUGCUCCAGAUGAGGAGUUUUUGACUCGUGACCUGUGGCCAUACUGCCUGCUGUGUUUCCCAGUGCAGUAAACAGUGAAAGGUAAGUGAGAAAGGAGACUUGUCACCAAGCACAAAUACCAGGGGUAGGUUCUGUGACUGGGAGACAGAUGGCUCCAUGAGUAAGGAGAAAAAAGUAAAAAUGCCUGUCCUUAUACCCAGAAGCAUGGAUCACCAGUGUGGCAGCUCAUGGAAGUGAGGUUGUUUCAGAGGGCAGCCACCCUUCACUUCACUGUUGCUUUUUUGUUGUAUUAAUCUGAGAUAAACUCCUGUGUCAGUCGAGAGACUCAUCUUCUAGGGAUGAAAUAAAGAACCAGCAGAGAACCA
Molecule: long non-coding RNA, 2539 nt
Organism: Parus major (Great Tit)
Lineage: Eukaryota; Metazoa; Chordata; Aves; Passeriformes; Paridae
Exons: 4
Source: RefSeq, a predicted model, not a curated record